This 421-nucleotide ribosomal RNA is filed under the name uncultured bacterium. RNAcentral's name for it is "bacterial SSU rRNA". It matches the Rfam family "Bacterial small subunit ribosomal RNA", at positions 387 to 793 of the family's 1533-position model. The record is from RNAcentral.
UGCAGCCAUGCCGCGUGUAUGAAGAAGGACCUUCGGGUUGUAAAGGUACUUUACAGCAGUGAGGAAGGUGGGGUAUGGUUAAUAGCAUAUUCAUUUGACGUUAGCUGCAGAAGAAGCAACCGGCUAACUCCGUGCCAGCAGCCGCGGUAAUACGGAGGGUGCGAGCGUUAAUCGGAAUUACUGGGCGUAAAGCGCAUGCAGGUGGUUUGUUAAGUCAGAUGUGAAAGCCCGGGGCUCAACCUCGGAAUUGCAUUUGAAACUGGCAAACUAGAGUACUGUAGAGGGGGGUAGGAAUUUCAGGUGUAGCGGUGAAAUGCGUAGAGAUCUGAAGGAAUACCGGUGGCGAAGGCGGCCCCCUGGACAGAUACUGACACUCAGAUACGAAAGCGUGGGGAGCAAACAGGAUUAGAUACCCUGGUAG